RNAcentral lists this ribosomal RNA (1747 nucleotides) under Escherichia coli. Its description in RNAcentral is "partial 23S ribosomal RNA". It matches the Rfam family "Bacterial large subunit ribosomal RNA", at positions 1199 to 2925 of the family's 2925-position model. Lineage: Bacteria; Pseudomonadati; Pseudomonadota; Gammaproteobacteria; Enterobacterales; Enterobacteriaceae. The record is from RNAcentral.
GCUGCGGCAGCGACACUGUGUGUUGUUGGGUAGGGGAGCGUUCUGUAAGCCUGUGAAGGUGUACUGUAAGGUAUGCUGGAGGUAUCAGAAGUGCGAAUGCUGACAUAAGUAACGAUAAAGCGGGUGAAAAGCCCGCUCGCCGGAAGACCAAGGGUUCCUGUCCAACGUUAAUCGGGGCAGGGUGAGUCGACCCCUAAGGCGAGGCCGAAAGGCGUAGUCGAUGGGAAACAGGUUAAUAUUCCUGUACUUGGUGUUACUGCGAAGGGGGGACGGAGAAGGCUAUGUUGGCCGGGCGACGGUUGUCCCGGUUUAAGCGUGUAGGCUGGUUUUCCAGGCAAAUCCGGAAAAUCAAGGCUGAGGCGUGAUGACGAGGCACUACGGUGCUGAAGCAACAAAUGCCCUGCUUCCAGGAAAAGCCUCUAAGCAUCAGGUAACAUCAAAUCGUACCCCAAACCGACACAGGUGGUCAGGUAGAGAAUACCAAGGCGUUUGAGAGAACUCGGGUGAAGGAACUAGGCAAAAUGGUGCCGUAACUUCGGGAGAAGGCACGCUGAUAUGUAGGUGAAGUCCCUCGCGGAUGGAGCUGAAAUCAGUCGAAGAUACCAGCUGGCUGCAACUGUUUAUUAAAAACACAGCACUGUGCAAACACGAAAGUGGACGUAUACGGUGUGACGCCUGCCCGGUGCCGGAAGGUUAAUUGAUGGGGUCAGCGCAAGCGAAGCUCUUGAUCGAAGCCCCGGUAAACGGCGGCCGUAACUAUAACGGUCCUAAGGUAGCGAAAUUCCUUGUCGGGUAAGUUCCGACCUGCACGAAUGGCGUAAUGAUGGCCAGGCUGUCUCCACCCGAGACUCAGUGAAAUUGAACUCGCUGUGAAGAUGCAGUGUACCCGCGGCAAGACGGAAAGACCCCGUGAACCUUUACUAUAGCUUGACACUGAACAUUGAGCCUUGAUGUGUAGGAUAGGUGGGAGGCUUUGAAGUGUGGACGCCAGUCUGCAUGGAGCCGACCUUGAAAUACCACCCUUUAAUGUUUGAUGUUCUAACGUGGACCCGUGAUCCGGGUUGCGGACAGUGUCUGGUGGGUAGUUUGACUGGGGCGGUCUCCUCCUAAAGAGUAACGGAGGAGCACGAAGGUUGGCUAAUCCUGGUCGGACAUCAGGAGGUUAGUGCAAUGGCAUAAGCCAGCUUGACUGCGAGCGUGACGGCGCGAGCAGGUGCGAAAGCAGGUCAUAGUGAUCCGGUGGUUCUGAAUGGAAGGGCCAUCGCUCAACGGAUAAAAGGUACUCCGGGGAUAACAGGCUGAUACCGCCCAAGAGUUCAUAUCGACGGCGGUGUUUGGCACCUCGAUGUCGGCUCAUCACAUCCUGGGGCUGAAGUAGGUCCCAAGGGUAUGGCUGUUCGCCAUUUAAAGUGGUACGCGAGCUGGGUUUAGAACGUCGUGAGACAGUUCGGUCCCUAUCUGCCGUGGGCGCUGGAGAACUGAGGGGGGCUGCUCCUAGUACGAGAGGACCGGAGUGGACGCAUCACUGGUGUUCGGGUUGUCAUGCCAAUGGCACUGCCCGGUAGCUAAAUGCGGAAGAGAUAAGUGCUGAAAGCAUCUAAGCACGAAACUUGCCCCGAGAUGAGUUCUCCCUGACCCUUUAAGGGUCCUGAAGGAACGUUGAAGACGACGACGUUGAUAGGCCGGGUGUGUAAGCGCAGCGAUGCGUUGAGCUAACCGGUACUAAUGAACCGUGAGGCUUAACCUU